ACAAAGAUUCGUGCUAUAUUCAAGAAGCGAAUAAAUUGAAUUGGUAGAUACAGAGAAGAAAUGGAAAACGAACAAUAGUAUAAUUCUGAUGAACCCUUACACAUGUUCUUGUGGAGAUACCAGGACAGUACAGUAUAAUUUACCCCAUCAUAAGUAAUUCCUGUUGUCCCUCCUCUACCAAGCAUAUGUGCUGCCUUAGCAUUUAUCCUAAACUAUUGCUUGGCAGGUUCAGGCUUUCCCAAGCUUAAAACGAUUGGUAAACUUACACAACAGUUACAUAUCAACGCGGACUUGGUAUCCUGUAUGCAAAAACAGUGAAACGUUUGAGCUAGUAAACAACUUCCAACAAACAACAUAACCUCUCUGGUUGAAUAGGAGCACAAAUUAACAUUUUUCUCAAUAUAAAGUUACACAUCGAUAAACAAAAAAUCAAACACCAUUUCAGUGAAACAAACAUGUCCAAGAUGGAGAGUGUCUUUUUUCUAGCUAAAAAUGAGAAACUUGCAUAGGCAAUGUCAACACCUGGUACGAUGUGGCACAUUUCGCAUGCAUGGGAGAUGGAAGCAGAAGCAGAGUACCUACGAGAAACCUGCCUAGUUCAUCUUAAAAAGAUUGUGACUUAUGGCGGCGAUAAAUCAUUUUGCCUGAACGAUAUAAUGGUGUUAUCCUUUCAUUCAGGAUACACAAACUAUAUCUCUGUUCACUUUGAUAGAGUAAAGGUCAAUACAUACAUACUUAGAACAUUAAUAUGCAUUCAAACAAUUUGUCAAACACUUGGAGAACGACCAAAGUAACCACAACUCACAUUUCAUAAAUUUGAACUGACCAUGCAAAACAUUACGUACUGUAUAUUGAAUAACCAAAACAUGGUAAAGUGAAAGAAUACUUACAAUUUGUCAUUCUACAAAUUGAGAGCUCAUCAAUUGAGCUGGGUUUUGCUAAAGAUUUAACAAUUUGUCAACUUCCUCCCCCCCCCCCCCCCCCAAUUUGCAGAAAACAUAAACCAUUGAUCAGAUUUUGCCAUUUUGGGUUGUUUUGAGGAUGAAGAAAUAGGGAACAUAUACAAACAAUGCAUAGCUUUGUUAAUCAUCUCUUAAUGUCCACAGAUGAACAGAUGAUUCACAGCUUUGUUAUUCUUAAUGAAUUUUAGAUAAUAUUGGUGAAACUCGCAAUCUAAAUGAUUAAAUAAACAAAUGGUUUUAGCAUUUAAGGUAGAUGAAACUACUAGCAUAAGAAACAAGAUCAAGUUUUCGAGGAAAUAACAUAAACCCUAAAAAGGUAGGUUGUCCAACUCAAUAGAGAACUCUUUCUCUCUUUCAUCUCCAUCUAUUGCUAACUUGAGCUUUGGAGUGACAUCCACCGAUCGAAGACCCGAAAGGAGCGGAAGAUUGAUAGCGACAAUCUCACAGUGUUAGCUUUAUAGGAGUUUACAUUUGGCGCUAGAAGGAGGGUUGUGACACUUCUCUAGAUCUACGGAACUUGGUGAACCAAUUCUGUUAAAAAUGUUAUCUGUAAUGUCCAAGUCCAGAAAAGCCCAGUCCAUAGAAGUGUCCAGAAGCAUAAAGAAUUAUCUAGCAUAUAAUAGUUAGUAGUUAAUAGAGAAAUCUAGAAUGUAUGAGAACAAUUAAAGUCGGUUAUAAUGUCCUAUAAAUAGGGAGGUGAACAUGUUGUUUGAUGAAUCAAUCAAGAGAAAAGAAGUUCUCUAGUACUAGAAGUCCCCUUUUGUAAUAAAAACAAAGUUUCUUUUAUAAACUUGUUAUUUUGUCAUAUUCUUCUUUUUGACUCUCAUAUACCCACUAACACUUCCAUUGUUUUAACAAAUUGGUAUCAGAGCUUGUUUUUUCUUUGGUCCCCCCAUACCACUUUCCAUCAUCUACACCUUAAACCACUAUAUUCCCAUUAUUUACACUUAAACCAUGGCCAUAAAUCAAACCCCACAUACAUUCAAUUAUACCCAAAAUCUAAUACCCAUAUUUGAUGGUGAUAGUUAUGAUUAUUGGAGUUUACAAAUGAAAACUCUAUUCAUGUCUCAAGAUUUAUGGGAAUUAAUUGAAGAUGGCUAUGAUGUACCGGAGUCGACGGCAGAAUUACAAACAUGGGAUCAAAGCAAGCAAAAGGAGUACAAGGAGAAGAAAAAGAGAGAUGCCAAAGCAUUAUUGUUCAUCCAACAAGGGGUAAGCAAAUCAAUUUUUCCAAGAAUUCUUGGCGCUUCAAAUUCUAAGGAUGCAUGGGAAAUUCUUAAGAAAGAAUUUCAAGGAACCCAAAAGAUAAUUUCUAUCAAACUCCAAUAUUUAUGGCGAGAAUUUGAUAAUUUUUUCAUGAAAGAUAAUGAGAAAGUUCAAGUAUUCUACAAUAGGGUCUCCAACGUUAUCAACCAAAUUAAAAGUUAUGGAGAAACUAUUGAAGAUAAGAAAGUUAUUGAGAAAAUUUUGCGAAGUUUACCCGCAAAAUUUGAUCAUAUUGUCGCCGCCAUAGAAGAAUCAAAAGAUUUGUCAAAAUUAUCAUUAUAUGAGCUAAUGGGUUCUCUUGAGGCGCAUGAAGAAAGGAUGAGCAGUAGGUCAGCUGAAAAAUCAUUGGAGCAGGCAUUUCAGUCCAAGGUGACUUUUGGGGACAAGAAAGAAAAUUCAAGAAGCUUCCAGAAUCCCAGAGAAUUUAGCCGAGGAGAAAGCUCAAACUGGGGACGUGAAGGAAAAUUCAGCAACAACAACCGAAGGUAUGACAAAAAUCCUUCUUCAAAACCUUAUUGCAAUGUUUGCAAAAAACCCGGUCAUAAAAGUGAAAACUGCAGAUAUAAAUGCACCACGUGUAAAAAGUUAAAUCACGUGGAUAAAGAUUGUUGGCUCAAGAAGAAAAAUCAAGCCAACUACAUGGAGAAAAAUGAAUCUCCAGACCAAGUAUUUUAUUCUUGCUAUAAUGCAAUGCAAGAACCUAAAGAUAUUUGGUAUUUAGACAGUGGCUGCAGUAAUCACAUGACCGGAGAUAAGAAAGGUUUUAUAAGUCUAGAUGAAGACGUAGAUUCUAAAGUUAAGCUAGGAGAUGGUAAACUUCAGAAAAUAGAAGGAAAAUGAAUAGUUACAGUAAAAACUGGAGAAGGAGCAUCUAAAAAUAUGCAUGAUGUUCUGUAUGUCCCCGGUCUUGCUCAAAACUUACUAAGUGUUGGGCAACUUAUCCAGAAAGGGUAUAUUGUGCAUUUUGAAGAUAAUGAAUGCACAAUUUACGAUAAAAGAAAGAAGCAGGUGGUUGCCAAAGUACAGAUGACAGAAAAUAAGGUUUUUCCAUUGGUGAUGUCAUCGGUACAAAAUUAUGCCAUGAAAAGAACUGCAGUUGAUGAAACUGAAUUAUGGCAUUUACGAUUUGGGCAUUUGAAUUAUAGAGCCUUAAGGGUUCUAAAGUCCAAAAAUAUGGUGAUUGGGCUACCUAGUAUUGGUGGAGAAGUUAGAGUUUGUGAAGGCUGCAUUUUUGGGAAAUUUCAUAGAUUUCCCUUUGCUAAGUCAUCAUGGAGAGCCAGGAAGUCUUUAGAAUUGGUUCACGCUGACAUAUGCGGACCAGUUCGAACACCGUCAUUAAACAACAAAAGAUAUUUUCUUUUGUUUGUUGAUGAUUACAGCAGGAUGAUGUGGGUGUACUUCCUAGAACAAAAAUCGGAAGCAUUCACCAUAUUCUUGAAGUUCAAGGCGCUCGUUGAAAAACAAAGUGGGCAUUCCUUAAAGGUGUUACGCACUGAUCGAGGAGCAGAAUUCACAUCUAAGGAGUUCAACAAAUAUUGUCAAGAUCAAGGAAUCAAGAAGGAGCUGACAGUCCGAUACACUCCUCAACAAAAUGGCGUGGCAGAGAGGAGGAACAGGACGAUCGUGGAGAUGGCUCGGAGCAUGCUGAAGGGAAAAGGCUUACCAAACAAACUAUGGGCUGAAGCUGUCAACACCGCGGUCUACAUUCUCAACCGUUCGCCAACUAAAGUAGUGCGAGACAGGACGCCGUAUGAAGCAUGGCAUCAUCAAAAGCCCACGGUAACUUCUCUCAAAGUCUUUGGAUGCAUCGCAUAUUCUCAUAUUCCAUCAAAACACAGAGAAAAGUUUGAUGAGAAGGGAGAAAAGCUCAUCUUCAUCGGGUAUAGCGAAGAAUCCAAAGCUUACAGGCUACGUAAUCCCAGGACCAAUGAGUUAGUAAUCUCCAGAGAUGUCAUCUUUGAUGAGCAUAAUGCAUGGAGUUGGGAUGAUGGAAACAACACUAAUGUCGAGGCGCCACUAAUACUUGAAGAAGAAGAAUCAACCCAAGAACAACCAGGUCCAGAACCUGAACCAGUUACUCCGCCAACAUGCCCAAGAAGUCCAUCUUCAUCAGGGUCAAGCUCUCCCCCAAGAAAGGUACGUCCUUUACAAGAUAUUUACAACUCAUGCGGUCCAGUUGCUUUUCUUGCUUGUGAACCACAAAAGUAUGAAGAAGCAGCAACUGAAGAAAAAUGGAGAAAAGCUAUGGAUGAAGAAAUGAAAGUCAUCCAUAAAAAUGAAACAUGGGAGCUGGUUGAAAAGCCCAAAGAGAAAGAAGUUAUUGGGCUGAAAUGGGUCUAUAAGACCAAGUAUAAUGAAGAUGGCUCUAUCCAGAAGCAUAAGGCUCGGCUUGUUGCAAAAGGUUAUUCCCAACAACAAGAGCAAGAAGGUCCUACUACUAUAUAUUGCGACAAUAUGUCUGCAAUAGCUAUGACCAGGAAUCCAGUGUUCCAUAGCAGGUUAAAGCACAUUGAGUUGCGUCACCACUUCAUCAGAGACUUGGUUGAAAGUGAAGAGAUCGAGCUACAAUUCUGCAGGACUGAAGAUCAAUGUGCCGACAUAUUUACCAAGCCACUUGGAGGUGAAAAUUUUCAUCACUUUAGGAGGAGCAUGAACAUUACAGAUUAAGUGGGGGUGUUAAAAAUGUAAUCUGUAAUGUCCAAGUCCAGAAAAGCCCAGUCCAUAGAAGUGUCCAGAAGCAUAAAGAAUUAUCUAGUCCAUAGAAGUGUCUAGAAGCAUAAAGAAUUAUCUAGUCCAUAGAAGUGUCCAGAAGUAUAAAGAAUUAUCUAGCAUAUAAUAGUUAGUAGUUAAUAGAGAAAUCUAGAAUGUAUGAGAACAAUUAAAGUCGGUUAUAAUGUCCUAUAAAUAGGGAGGUGAACAUGUUGUUUGAUGAAUCAAUCAAGAGAAAAGAAGUUCUCUAGUACUAGAAGUCCCCUUUUGUAAUAAAAACAAAGUUUCUUUUAUAAACUUGUUAUUUUGUCAUAUUCUUCUUCUUGACUCUUAUAUACCCACUAACACUUCCAUUGUUUUAACAAAUUCUGCUAUUAAUUCAGUUUAAAAAUGGAAAAAAUAAAAAAACAAGCAGAGAAACAAAGUCCUCUUCACCAUCGUCACGCCAACCAGAAUACUUUCUUCUCCAAGGCUAGAUCUGCAACAUCAUUUCAUCUCUUGGUAUAAUCUUCGAAUUCAAGGCUUUGGUUGGUUUAUGAACUACAAUCUCCGAAUCGUUAACCUCGCCAUUCUUUAUUCUCAAGAAGAACAACAAAGUUACCAACUUUCAUUAUUUUGUCAAGUUGAUCAAGGGACAACAGAUGCAACUAGUUAAACCACACUUGGACAAUUCAUCUCCAUUGGUUUUCUCAUAAUAUUCAUGCUCACCAACAAAAUAAACCAUAGAUUCCCAAAUGGCAAAAAUCCCACAAUCCAAAUUCUAAUUUCUCAAAUCAUAUCCAAUAAAUGUCCUGAAUCUAUUAAGAUAUUUUGGAUGCAUAAAAAACUCAAAAAUUACUUCUCCCAUGUUUAGUCGCAACAAAAUAUCACAAGACAAUGUAACAUUACAUGAAUAUUUGUAAUAAUCUUUAUACUAACAUUUCGACAAACACUUGGACUGCAGAAAAUCUCACAUUUUCAUAACUUUCAAUCACACAAAAAUCACUAAAUGAACUAUAAAAAUAAUGGUUUAAAGCAUAAGAAACAUCAUAACAAGUGUAACAAGGUGCAAUUUCAUCACCAAUAUGGAGAGAGGAAGGAGAGUACUAUCUGUACAACCCAGAUCUUUACAUAAAAUUUAAUAAUUUCUGAUUCCACCCAAUCCCAUCAUUUCCACUCCGUUAUAUCUAUGUAAACCACGCUUGAGUUUUAAGAUAUUCCCCACAAUGAUGCUGCACAUUUGACAGAUACACCUUAACUUCAUCUCUCGCAAAAUCGCACGCUGCAGGCUGCAGGAGUAAUGGGAUCUGCAACUGCCCUCAACACCGUUGUUUAUAUUUAGAUAAGAUGUUAGUAUGUUACCGAAGAGAAUAAAAAGUUAUGAAAUUUUCCGAUACCACCCAAUCCCAAACAUUACCUUCAGUGGCGGCCCUGAGGGCAUGCCUAAGAAGCUCUUGAUUGGGGCCAACCAAUAAAUAAAAGAAAAA
This 6403-nucleotide long non-coding RNA is filed under the name Aquilegia coerulea. Its description in RNAcentral is "long non-coding RNA (ACOE_LNC000948)". The record is from RNAcentral. Lineage: Eukaryota; Viridiplantae; Streptophyta; Magnoliopsida; Ranunculales; Ranunculaceae.